RNAcentral lists this ribosomal RNA (242 nucleotides) under Escherichia coli. Its description in RNAcentral is "partial 16S ribosomal RNA". It matches the Rfam family "Bacterial small subunit ribosomal RNA", at positions 1281 to 1522 of the family's 1533-position model. The record is from RNAcentral. Lineage: Bacteria; Pseudomonadati; Pseudomonadota; Gammaproteobacteria; Enterobacterales; Enterobacteriaceae. RNAcentral also lists the same sequence under 2 other names.
GUGCGUCGUAGUCCGGAUUGGAGUCUGCAACUCGACUCCAUGAAGUCGGAAUCGCUAGUAAUCGUGGAUCAGAAUGCCACGGUGAAUACGUUCCCGGGCCUUGUACACACCGCCCGUCACACCAUGGGAGUGGGUUGCAAAAGAAGUAGGUAGCUUAACCUUCGGGAGGGCGCUUACCACUUUGUGAUUCAUGACUGGGGUGAAGUCGUAACAAGGUAACCGUAGGGGAACCUGCGGUUGGA